Erinaceus europaeus (western European hedgehog) is the source of this 307-nucleotide long non-coding RNA. RefSeq lists it as uncharacterized. The transcript is spliced from 2 exons. The record is from RefSeq and is a predicted model, not a curated record. Lineage: Eukaryota; Metazoa; Chordata; Mammalia; Eulipotyphla; Erinaceidae.
AAAAAAAAUCUUCACACUCUACUGAUACUCUACUGAUGCCAACUAAUGAAGAUUAUUCUGGGUCUCAGUACCUGCACUAUGAAUCCACUGCUCCUGAAAGCCAUUUUUUCCCUUUUUGUUGUUGUUGCUGUUGUCAUUACUAUACCAUGGUCUUUAAGUUAUCUUUUAUUUUAAGUUAAUUUAACUCUCAACUAAGAGAUUAUUCAUAAGAAUAAAGUGACCACUUUUCACAGUCAUAUAUUUAAAUUCAUAAUCAUGUGUUCUGCUGCAAAUAUCAACAAAUGCAUAAAAUAAAACAGUGGGAAAA